GUUUGUUAGUUGGCACAUGGGAGACUGCCGCUAGAAAGUUUAAAUCUUUAGCCCGCAACAUUAAAUCCCCCGCGAAACAGAGGCUUUUCCCCCUCCCACUCUUCUAUUUUCUCACAUUUUCAUAUAUUCCCGCUCUCCCCCCUCUCUCUCUCCCAGUCGACCUCUAGGUGCUCCUCUCACAGUCUUCUCGCACCAUUGAAGACAUCGAACCGGCGAUUUGUAUUCCUGCUCUCCUCUCUAUUUCUUGGUCGAUCAUUUCUGAUUUCUCUUUGCUCAUUUUCUCACGGUCUUCCUACACCAUCAAAUAACACCCAACCGGCAAUGGCAUUGGCAAUGACAGACUUCCUUGGAUUUGAAGCUCUGAAGCUCGAGUUCAUUUCCUGACAGCAUCGACAAUUUUAGACCACUUCUUAGAGUGUAGUAAGAAGUGGGAGACCUCCUUGCAUUUGAAGCUUGAGUUCAUUUCCCGACGAAGUAGAUUUCUCGUAAUCAGGCCACAAUCUUCUUGGUUCAACGAAGGUUGUCUCUCUUCAGCAACUUUGUUUUUCUUUGUUCUGAAAUAGCCUCCUCGUCUCAGGUUCUGCGCACACCGCAUAUCCUUGUUCGUUCAUCACCGAUGGAAGGAACACGCUUGGCCAUUUCUGUCCGUGGAGAUGAACCCUGCGAGGAGUUGGAUAUUCUCAAAGAUGUUGAUGCUACAAUGCUUCUACAUAAUCUACCAUCUAAAGAAAGUGUCAGUAGAGUACAUGCAGUGAGGAGCCUCGAAGGUUUGAUGAGAGACUGCAGAAUGAGUUGCAACUCCUGUUGUAUCAGUUGUGCUUGUUUGGUGGGGAGGUUCAGUUUGUUGAGGCCACAACUAUGGCAGGAAAGGGGGAUGUGCGUCUUACUGGGCAACUUGGUGAUGUUAUCAAAGAAUCAGCACAGAUAGCACUUACAUGGGUAAGAGCGAGGGUAGCAGAUCUUAAGUUGGCAGCUGCUGGGGAAAUCAAUUUGAUGGAGGGACGAGAUAUUCAUAUACAUUUUCCUGCUGGGGCUGUACCAAAGGAUGGACCCUCAGGUGGUGUGAUCCUGGUAAUAUCACUGGUGUCACUCUUCAGUCAAAAAAGAGUAAGAGCAGGCACAACAAUGACAGGAGAGAUGACAUUGUAGGGUCUGCUAUUACCAGUUGGUGGCAUUAAAGAUAAGGUUGUAGGAUUGAUCAAGGAUUGGAUUUCAAUAGCUAAUCUAUCAAAGAAAGCUUCACAUUCAUAGGAACAUUCUACUCCCGACAUCUAAGUGGUCCUUGACUUGGGUGAAACCCUGGUAUGUGCAUAUGAGACAUCUAGCUUGCCUGCAAUAGUCCGUAAUCAAGCAAUAGAAGCUGGGCUGAAGUGGUUUGAGCUGGAAUGUGUAUCAUCAUAUAAGAUCUGUUUAAUAGUUUUUUUGUCAUUUAUCCAGUUAUCUAUCCAUAACUCAUUAUACAUGGAAGAAACUUAAUCGAACAUACACUGUUUUUGAAGGAUCUGAUGGAAAAUCCAAGGUCAAUCAUGUCACAGUGUUUGAAUGUCCAGGUUUGCGAGAAUUCUUGAAGCAGACAAGUGUAGCAGGUGCCAUGAAUUGCCAUAUGGCUGGUAAAGUCAGUGGAUUUGGUUCCCACUGACCUGGGACUAAUUCCUGCCUUCACCCUCCUCACCCCCAAACUCAAAGUUUACCAAAGCCAAAAAAUUGUUUAGAAAAAAACUGGGCUCAACUUUAUUGACAAGCAUUAUUUUGUGGUGCUUUAUUUAGUCCAGGGGGACACUGAGAAAAAGAUUAUAAAUGAUAUAUUUGAGGAAGUUGACAAGCAUAUAAGUGAGGAGACACUUAUCACUGAAUUUAAAAUGAUAUAUAUGCGGAUGGUCAGAUUGGUUUGCCAGAUUCGAGCCAUGGUGGAUCUUAUGGAAGGAGUGACGAGUCAACCCCCCUAGAACAUCAGUUAUUUGCAUCAGAAGGAGCAAUCAAGUUUCCAGUUGAAGAGACAAAAGCCUGGAAGGAGAAGAUCAAGAGGCUUCAUCUGUUGCUUACUGUGAAGGAGUCUGCAAUGGAUGUACCAACCCUUCAGAAGCUAGAAGGCGUAUUUCUUUUUUCUCAAAUUCAUUGUUUAUGGACAUGCCACCUGCCCUGAAGUUCGCAAUAUGCUUUCUUUUUUCGAGCCUUUUCAUCUGGAACUGUUAUGCUCAAGUCCAUUCAUAAUUUUCAAACGCAUGAACGGUUUGAUGCCAAGCCAACCGUUUAUUUUCAUUGUCAAGGGGAGAACAAGACAACUUUACCAGAUAUGAAGGAAGCACUCCACAUAUAUACCUUCAAAGGAGAAGAAUCCUGGCAAGUUCGAACCAGGUUUCUAGUACAAUUUGAAACCCUAUCAUUUAGACCAAAUGUUAUUUGACUUGUAAAAAUCUCUUGAAAAGCUGUGCUGCAUAGCAUAAGUGCCAGCUUUUACUAAUGGAUGUUGUAUCUGCCACGAUUGCAUUCUGGUGGUUCUCCAAUUCCUUGUAUGGUCAAGUGGACUGCUUGAAAAAGUAUUCAUCUUCUUUGGAUUUUGGGAGAAGAUUUUGUAAAUCAAGCGUUUUUAAUUUUAAUAAAGGAUGAUGAAAUUUGUAUUAAAGUGGGUCGUGGUCAUUUUUGUAAAUUGCUGUACUAAAGAGAACGGAUGAUGAUUUUUUUUGUAAAUUUAUAUGUUUUGAAUGGAAUAGAGUUUUAA
This is a non-coding RNA of Nelumbo nucifera (sacred lotus), 2719 nucleotides long. The record is from RefSeq and is a predicted model, not a curated record. Lineage: Eukaryota; Viridiplantae; Streptophyta; Magnoliopsida; Proteales; Nelumbonaceae.